UACGUAGGGGCCGAGCGUUGUCCGGAGUUACUGGGCGUAAAGCGCGCGCAGGCGGCUCGUCAAGCCUGACGUGAAAGCCCCCGGCUCAACCGGGGAGGGUCGUCGGGGACUGGCGGGCUUGAGGUCGGCAGGGGUUGGUGGAAUUCCCGGUGUAGUGGUGAAAUGCGUAGAUAUCGCUUGGAACGCCAACGGUGAAAACAGCUCGCUGGGGGUGUGCUGACGCUGAGACACGAAAGCCAGGGGAGCGAACGGG
This 253-nucleotide ribosomal RNA is filed under the name uncultured prokaryote. RNAcentral describes it as "partial 16S ribosomal RNA". It matches the Rfam family "Bacterial small subunit ribosomal RNA", at positions 524 to 776 of the family's 1533-position model. The record is from RNAcentral.